CAGAGACAAGAUGCUGCACAAACUAGUUCAGCGAGAAGAGGGCCCUGCUGGGAUGAAGCACCUUGCCGAUAGACUACUACGCCUUGCCAGGACUGCUCUAGGGCUGACUGGCUCUGGAAUACCAAAUGUCACAGGCUGCUUCAACCCUGGCCCCUACUGGCAUUCCUCAGCGAGAGCAACAGCAAUGCCACCGUCAUGGGGUGUUGGUGUUGGUGGUGGUGGUGAUUAAAAUAUAUAUUUGUGUUUUUUGUUUUUGCGGAAAUGUAAAUAGUUGGAAAAACUGAGGAUUUACUACAGAUAGGUAUAAUUUAUGCUCAAGUAAGCUGUAGUUUAUAAUUCAUUUGUGUAAACAAUAUAUACAGACAUAUUUCUUCUACAAAACAAUUACACUAUUAUACAGAGAGUGUGAAGAUACUAACAACAUUCUGUGCACUUGUUUCUCUAAACACUCCUUUUAGCAACUCAGCGGUUUUCCCUAUGUCAGCUGUUUCUGCUUUAUUUUUUUUAUUUUCUGUAGUUCUCAUUAUGGUAAAAAUAAUGAAGCUGCUGAGACACCAAAAUUACAUAUUUAUAGAAACAAUAAAUUAAUCUGAUUUGCUAACAAGUGUAUAAAUUUACCUUGACUGACAACAGGCUGGAAUUCCAAUACAAUUCUUUCAAGAGUGGCUUAAAACUAAAGGCAGUCUUAAAGUUUGAGAAAUAUAUAUUCAUACAAAAUAUACGGAAAUUUCAUCACAAGUAUGUACCAAAACGAUUAAAAAUACUGAUUUCUAC
This is a long non-coding RNA of Schistocerca gregaria, 774 nucleotides long. RefSeq lists it as uncharacterized. The record is from RefSeq and is a predicted model, not a curated record. Lineage: Eukaryota; Metazoa; Arthropoda; Insecta; Orthoptera; Acrididae. The transcript has 2 exons.